This 72-nucleotide transfer RNA is filed under the name Camelus bactrianus (Bactrian camel). It matches the Rfam family "tRNA". From Rfam's summary of the family: Transfer RNA (tRNA) molecules are approximately 80 nucleotides in length. Their secondary structure includes four short double-helical elements and three loops (D, anti-codon, and T loops). Further hydrogen bonds mediate the characteristic L-shaped molecular structure. tRNAs have two regions of fundamental functional importance: the anti-codon, which is responsible for specific mRNA codon recognition, and the 3' end, to which the tRNAs corresponding amino acid is attached (by aminoacyl-tRNA synthetases). tRNAs cope with the degeneracy of the genetic code in two manners: having more than one tRNA (with a specific anti-codon) for a particular amino acid; and 'wobble' base-pairing, i.e. permitting non-standard base-pairing at the 3rd anti-codon position. Lineage: Eukaryota; Metazoa; Chordata; Mammalia; Artiodactyla; Camelidae. RNAcentral also lists the same sequence under 2 other names. The record is from Rfam by way of RNAcentral.
GAGGGUAUAGCUCAGUGGUAGAGUGCAUGCCUAGCAUGCACGAUGUCCUGGGUUCAAUCCCCAUCACCUCCA